GAUAAACGCUGGCGGCGUGCAUUAUGCAUGCAAGUCGAACGGUGCCGCAAGGCACAGUGGCAAACGGGUGAGUAACACGUAAGCAACCUGCCUCUGAGUGGGGAAUAACUUCGGGAAACUGAGGCUAAUACCGCAUACGGUGUGCUCUCGAUGGAGGGUUCACCAAAGCCGCAAGGCGCUCGGAGAGGGGCUUGCGCCCGAUUAGCUAGUUGGUGGGUAACGGCCUACCAAGGCUGUGAUCGGUAGCUGGUCUGAGAGGAUGGUCAGCCACACUGGGACUGAGACACGGCCCAGACUCCUACGGGUGGCAGCCUGAGACGCCAAGGCACACAGGGGAUAGG
This 341-nucleotide ribosomal RNA is filed under the name uncultured Chloroflexota bacterium. RNAcentral describes it as "bacterial SSU rRNA". It matches the Rfam family "Bacterial small subunit ribosomal RNA", at positions 28 to 391 of the family's 1533-position model. The record is from RNAcentral. Lineage: Bacteria; Bacillati; Chloroflexota.